This 270-nucleotide ribosomal RNA is filed under the name Triticum aestivum (bread wheat). Its description in RNAcentral is "partial small subunit ribosomal RNA". The record is from RNAcentral. Lineage: Eukaryota; Viridiplantae; Streptophyta; Magnoliopsida; Poales; Poaceae.
AUGCCUACGGCAGAUGCUACCUUGGUGCAAUGGUGGACCGCCCUCACUCCGCAGAGGCAGCUAAGGAAAGAGAUUUGGACGGUGGUCACCCUUGUGGCAUGGACGAUCUGGAGACACCGGAAUGACAUAGUGUUCAAUGGUGCUCCCCCCUCGGCAGAGGUAGUGCUUAGGAGGAUUGACGAGGAGGGGCAGGACUGGAGGGCCGCGGGUUUGCUCCGUGAGCAUGGCUCCUUGCCACGUAGAGUAGUGAGGUUGGAUAGCGGCGAGUGA